This is a long non-coding RNA of Triticum aestivum (bread wheat), 1715 nucleotides long. RefSeq lists it as uncharacterized. NCBI's taxonomy places the organism in Eukaryota, Viridiplantae, Streptophyta, Magnoliopsida, Poales, Poaceae. The transcript is spliced from 4 exons. The record is from RefSeq and is a predicted model, not a curated record.
ACCACGUGACCAAGUUGGCUCGGCAUCCCCUUCUCUUCCACAGAAGGUCAGGAAGGCGGCUGCUCUGUUCUUCCAGGCGCACUGCGGCGGCGAUUCCUCACCGGCGAGAUGUCUACAGACGGCCUCGAGCUCGAUGGGAAGUGGGGAGCAGACAUCGCCGGAUGGAAUUGUCCCAUGGCAAUACUCGGUGGCCUGCACCAAGUUUGCUAUCACAUGGGCUGUGAUUCGAAACAGCACAGGUGACAGAAUCCCAUGCGACCCGAUCCACCCUCGGCUUACCUUGUGGAGCAGACAGAGCCACGGGACAGCUUUCCCUCCCCAGUCCCGUCUCUUCCCCAUACGCGCAGGGGCGGCAAUGGCUCUGCUCUGGCGAGAUGUCCACUGACGGUGUGGAGCUCAACUGGGGCGUUGCCGGCCCGGCGGGAUGGAGUGGUUCCGCCUCCCGGUGGAGUCCCAAGAUUCCAUGAGUGACGGGGCCGGCAGGCACAUCCAUGUGAAGAUGAAGAUCGAUACGAAAUGUGCUCUAAAGCUACCAGUGGCUGGACACGAAGCAUCCAUGUUGAUAUCGUGCCGCCCAUGGCCGUGAUGGUCCCAGUGAAGUCACGGGCUUCAAUGAGAAACGCCGACGGACAAAUAUGCCGCGGUGACGGGUUCGAGAUGUGCUUUGGAGCUACUGGCGGCUGGACAAAAGGUGAGUCUUAUGAUUAUUAUUUAUGGAUAUGGAAAGAUGAGGUCCUUGCGUAUAUCUUCCGUUUGCAAGAUGAACUUGUCAUGGCGUGCCGCUUUCGGUCUGGUCAUUAAUCACGCCGUGGAUUGUAGAAAAUUAUUUGGAAAUAGCGCAACAGAGUGGUAUUCGAUGGUGAAGCAGCCACCCACGCUGAGUGGCUAAGGAAGCUCAAGAAAGAUUUUGUGAUCUUAGGUUACAGGAUCAGCCCUCAAAAUUUAACAUUUUUAGAAGGUUUUAGCAUUUAUUUGUCUGUCUGAUCUCCUGUUUUACAUAGGCUAGUUCAGUGCUUACUGUAUUCUAGUAAAAAGCCAUGUAAAACAACCAUAUCCCUAAUGUUAACCAUAGGUUAACAUUUUAAUAAAAAAGGAGUCUCUCCUGCUGUUUUCACUGGUCAAAAAAAAAAGAAUCCGUUGUUAUGUCUGAAAUAAGCCCCUGCUGCCUUCAAACUGUGAGUUCCUUAUCACUGUGAUAAGCUGUGCUGCGGGUAAACUCAAUGCAAUUUGUACAUAUGGAUUAUAGACAUAUCCUUAGUGUGUGCUCAUGAAAAUAAAUUUCGUGUUUACGUCUUAUUUUGUUAACCAAUGUGCCAUCAAUUUAUACAUGUGCCAACAUUUUUUCCUUAUUGUUGUAUAACCCACUGUGCCAACAAUUGUUAACCAAGUCAAUUUAUUUUGUUAGCGUUGUACAAUUUUUUUGUUGUGCCUAUUUUUCAUCUGAUCAUACAUGUUUUUGGUUGUGGAGUCUGUUACGCCAAAAGCAGACUGAAUGUCGAGAGGACAAAAUGUAUGCAAGAGCUUGUUUGCGGCGUAACUAUGACCAUCCGAGCCUAAUUUCCUCCAGCAAAAGAUGUAUGAAACAAAGACAUUACUGCUUCACCAUUGUAUGCUUUCUGUAACGGACUGUUUGUGUCAUCUAUUCAGUUGGAAAAACUGUAGUUUCGGCUUGUUCCUGUUAAAAUCCCAGAAAAUUUAAUAUUGGUCAUUUUGUA